GACGAACGCUGGAGGCGUGCUCAACACAUGCAAGUCGAACGAUGAAAUGGAGCUUGCUCCAUGGAUUAGUGGCGAACGGGUGAGUAACACGUGAAUAACCUGCCCUUAAUUUUGGAAUAACCCAGGGAAACCUGGGCUAAUACCGGAUAAGUAAACCUGUGGCAUCACAUGGUUUUGGAAAGUUUUUCGAUUAAGGAUGGAUUCGCGGCCUAUCAGCUUGUUGGUGAGGUAAUGGCUCACCAAGGCGACGACGGGUAGCCGGCCUGAGAGGGUGAAAGGCCAACCUGGGACUGAGACACGGCCCAGACUCCUACGGGAGGCAGCAGUGGGGAAUAUUGCGCAAUGGACGAAAGUCUGACGCAGCGACGCCUCGUGAGGGACGAAGGUCUUCGGAUUGUAAACCUCUUUCAGCAGGGACGAAGCGAAAGUGACGAUACCUGCAGAAGAAGCACCGGCUAACUAUGUGCCAGCCGCCGCGGUAA
Molecule: ribosomal RNA, 482 nt
Filed under: uncultured bacterium
Lineage: Bacteria
Description: partial 16S ribosomal RNA
Rfam family: Bacterial small subunit ribosomal RNA
Source: RNAcentral